GAUGAACGCUGGCGGCGUGCCUAAUACAUGCAAGUCGAGCGAACAGAUGAGGAGCUUGCUCCUCUGACGUUAGCGGCGGACGGGUGAGUAACACGUGGAUAACCUACCUAUAAGACUGGGAUAACUUCGGGAAACCGGAGCUAAUACCGGAUAAUAUAUUGAACCGCAUGGUUCAAUAGUGAAAGACGGUUUUGCUGUCACUUAUAGAUGGAUCCGCGCCGCAUUAGCUAGUUGGUAAGGUAACGGCUUACCAAGGCAACGAUGCGUAGCCGACCUGAGAGGGUGAUCGGCCACACUGGAACUGAGACACGGGCCAGACUCCUACGGGAGGCAGCAGUAGGGAAUCUUCCGCAAUGGGCGAAAGCCUGACGGAGCAACGCCGCGUGAGUGAUGAAGGUCUUCGGAUCGUAAAGCUCUGUUAUUAGGGAAGAACAAAUGUGUAAGUAACUAUGCACGUCUUGACGGUACCUAAUCAGAAAGCCACGGCUAACUACGUG
Molecule: ribosomal RNA, 497 nt
Filed under: uncultured bacterium
Lineage: Bacteria
Description: partial 16S ribosomal RNA
Rfam family: Bacterial small subunit ribosomal RNA
Source: RNAcentral